CCCUUAGAUGUUCUGGGCCGCACGCGCGCUACACUGACGAUGGCAACGAGUUUUUCCUUCGCCGAAAGGUGUGGGUAAUCUUUUGAAACAUCGUCGUGCUGGGGAUAGAUCAUUGCAAUUUUUGAUCUUGAACGAGGAAUUCCUAGUAAGCGCGAGUCAUCAGCUCGCGUUAAUUACGUCCCUGCCCUUUGUACACACCGCCCGUCGCUACUACCGAUUGAAUGGUUUAGUGAGGACUCCUGAUUGGCGCCGCCGCCCCGGCAACGGAGCAGCGGACUGCCGAAAAGUUGUUCAAACUUGAUCAUUUAGAGGAAGUAAAAGUCGUAACA
Molecule: ribosomal RNA, 329 nt
Filed under: uncultured eukaryote
Lineage: Eukaryota
Description: partial 18S ribosomal RNA
Rfam family: Eukaryotic small subunit ribosomal RNA
Source: RNAcentral